GUGAAUGUGACACAGACCUCCUAUCAGGCAGAGGAGAACCACAACAUCACACUGGAAUGGACGUUCACAACCACAGCUGACACUUCCCCUGACUCUCUUGUAAUAUUCUGUGAGAUGAAAACUGGUCACACAGUCUUAGUCCUGUUUUUACUACAUGGAGGUGUUGUGGUCCCAGAGUCUCAGGAUCAACAGUUUGUAGGACGAGUCCAUUUGGACAAAGAUGCCCUCAGUGACGGACGACUCAGACUUCAUGUGUCCAGACUCAGGACUGAGGACUCAGGCUGGUACCUGUGUGAUGUGAGGACAAACUAUGGUGUGGACUCAGGUGAAUGUUGGCUCAACGUCUCUGCAGCGAGGGAUUGGCCCGAACCUGAGAGACCCAACAGUGAGAGAGCGAACAGGGUCAGUUGGGGAAUGAUCUUCCUCUACUGUGUACUCGGACUAACAGCAGCAGUGGUUGUUGUGUGAUUUCUUCAUCGCCUUCAUUUAUUCACUGUCUUGUCUAAGAAACAGAGUCCAGUGGAGCAAAUUUUACAGCUCAGCAGGAUCAAGGAAAGAGUUUGAUCCACAACUUAAUGAUUUUUAACAACAACCAUAGCUGAACAGGGUCAGUUGAAUAUGGAUUACCCUCUACUAUGAACUGGGACUGACAGCAGCAGUGGUUGUGUGGUUUCUUUGUCGCCUUUUAUUUAUUCACUGUCUAAGAAACAAAGUCCAGUGGAGGAUUUUAGAAAUGUUACAGCACAGCAGGAUCGGUGGAAACGGUUGAAACACAUCCUGCAUUCAUGUUGUUCAGUAAGUGUCCAUGAUGAAAGAGUCAGAGGAGAUAAACAAUAAUGGAGUUGAUUAAGGAAACAUUGUUUUUCACUUUUGUUGUCAAUUAUUUUGACAAGACGUCUCAUUAAACUCUGUCACUUAUAAGACAGAUCUGAAAUCUGCUCUGUGUUCACUUUACUGAAAUAAUGCUGAGAACCAUGUCGACCUCGUACAACAUGUGUAACUCUGUAUAUUUUAUGUUGUUGCCUCUAUGAUUAAUAAGAUAUGACAUUAACAUUGACAGUAUAUCCUGUAUAUGUAUUGCUCACCUCUUAACUGGAGCACAUAAGAUGGAGCACAUUACUCCCAUUCUGGCCUCCCUCCACUGGCUGUCUGUGCACUGUAGAGUUCAUCUUAAGAUUCUUUAAAUGGUCUCGCCCUGCCUUACCUCUCUGAGCUGCUCCAUCCCUACAGUCCUGCCCGGUGCCUCCGGUCAGCUGACCAGCUGCUCCUGGAGGUACCGAGAGAAGCUCAGAUGAGAAAGAGCUUUUUCUUUUGCCAGUCUCAAACUAUGGAACGUCCUCCUGCUACACAUCAGACGAGCCCCCUCACUGUCCAUUUUUAAAACUAAUCUUAAUACCCAUCUUUAUCCUUCGGCUUUCAACCCAGCAUGAGACUCUGCUCUUGUUUUAGUGUCUUGUUGUUUUUGUUGUUAUUGUUUUUUUAUAUUGUCUUUUAUGUUUUAUGGUGUAUUUCCUAUUUAUGUACUGCACUUUGUCCCAGCUAUGCCUGCUUAAAGUACUUUAUAAAUAAAGUUGAGUUGAGUUGA
Acanthopagrus latus (yellowfin seabream) is the source of this 1585-nucleotide long non-coding RNA. RefSeq lists it as uncharacterized. The transcript has 2 exons. Lineage: Eukaryota; Metazoa; Chordata; Actinopteri; Spariformes; Sparidae. The record is from RefSeq and is a predicted model, not a curated record.